GACGAACGCUGGCGGCGUGCUUAACACUUGCAAGUCGAACGGAAAGGCCCUGCUUGCCGGGUACUCGAGUGGCGAACGGGUGAGUAACACGUGGGUGAUCUGCCCUGCACUUCGGGAUAAGCCUGGGAAACUGGGUCUAAUACCGGAUAGGAGCCAUUUUUAGUGUGAUGGUUGGAAAGUUUUUUCGGUGUAGGAUGAGCUCGCGGCCUAUCAGCUUGUUGGUGGGGUAAUGGCCUACCAAGGCGGCGACGGGUAGCCGGCCUGAGAGGGUGGACGGCCACAUUGGGACUGAGAUACGGCCCAGACUCCUACGGGAGGCAGCAGUGGGGAAUAUUGCACAAUGGGCGCAAGCCUGAUGCAGCGACGCCGCGUGGGGGAUGACGGCCUUCGGGUUGUAAACUCCUUUCGCUAGGGACGAAGCUUUUUGUGACGGUACCUAGAUAAGAAGCACCGGCUAACUACGUG
RNAcentral lists this ribosomal RNA (465 nucleotides) under uncultured bacterium. RNAcentral describes it as "partial 16S ribosomal RNA". It matches the Rfam family "Bacterial small subunit ribosomal RNA", at positions 28 to 507 of the family's 1533-position model. The record is from RNAcentral.